GCCGCCAUAGCUCAGUCGGUUAGAGCGUGGGUCUAAUAAGCCCAAGCUCGCAGGUUCGACCCCUGCUGGCGGCA
Caenorhabditis brenneri is the source of this 74-nucleotide non-coding RNA. Lineage: Eukaryota; Metazoa; Nematoda; Chromadorea; Rhabditida; Rhabditidae. The record is from Rfam.